Molecule: ribosomal RNA, 445 nt
Filed under: uncultured bacterium
Lineage: Bacteria
Description: bacterial SSU rRNA
Rfam family: Bacterial small subunit ribosomal RNA
Source: RNAcentral
CCCAGACUCCUACGGGAGGCAGCAGUGGGGAAUAUUGCACAAUGGGCGAAAGCCUGAUGCAGCGACGCCGCGUGAGUGAAGAAGUAUUUCGGUAUGUAAAGCUCUAUCAGCAGGGAAGAAAAUGACGGUACCUGACUAAGAAGCCCCGGCUAACUACGUGCCAGCAGCCGCGGUAAUACGUAGGGGGCAAGCGUUAUCCGGAUUUACUGGGUGUAAAGGGAGCGUAGGCGGUAAUGCAAGUCAGAAGUGAAAGCCCGGGGCUCAACUCCGGGACUGCUUUUGAAACUGUGUUGCUAGAUUGCAGGAGAGGUAAGUGGAAUUCCUAGUGUAGCGGUGAAAUGCGUAGAUAUUAGGAGGAACACCAGUGGCGAAGGCGGCUUACUGGACUGUAAAUGACGCUGAGGCUCGAAAGCGUGGGGAGCAAACAGGAUUAGAUACCCGCGUA